ACUGAAGAAGGGGAUUAUCAGGUCAAACUACGCAACCUGAUACGUUUCCUUGAGAAUGGGGAUCGCGGCAAGGUCACUAUCCGCUUCCGUGGUCGUGAGAUGGCACACCAGGAAAUUGGUAUGCAGCUCAUGAACCGGGUUGAGGAAGAUGUGUCCGAGCUUGCCCAGGUAGAACAGCGGCCGAAAAUGGAAGGCCGCCAGAUGACCAUGGUUGUGGCUCCCCGCAAGAAGAAGUGAACCUGAUUCAGUGACGGCUCCCCCGCCUGUGCGGGGGAUUUGUCGUUCAGGGUCACAUGUUGUUUUUAAAUAAUAGAAUGCGGAGUUUUAAAAAAUGUCCAA
This 339-nucleotide unclassified non-coding RNA is filed under the name Marinobacter persicus. RNAcentral describes it as "Long range pseudoknot". The record is from RNAcentral. Lineage: Bacteria; Pseudomonadati; Pseudomonadota; Gammaproteobacteria; Pseudomonadales; Marinobacteraceae.